CACCUGGGGAUUCCUUAGUAACGGCGAGUGAAGCGGUAAAAGCUCAAAUUUGAAAUCUGGUACUUUCAGUGCCCGAGUUGUAAUUUGUAGAAUUUGUCUUUGAUUAGGUCCUUGUCUAUGUUCCUUGGAACAGGACGUCAUAGAGGGUGAGAAUCCCGUUUGGCGAGGAUACCUUUUCUCUGUAAGACUUUUUCGAAGAGUCGAGUUGUUUGGGAAUGCAGCUCAAAGUGGGUGGUAAAUUCCAUCUAAAGCUAAAUAUUGGCGAGAGACCGAUAGCGAACAAGUACAGUGAUGGAAAGAUGAAAAGAACUUUGAAAAGAGAGUGAAAAAGUACGUGAAAUUGUUGAAAGGGAAGGGCAUUUGAUCAGACAUGGUGUUUUUUGCAUGCACUCGCCUCUCGUGGGCUUGGGCCUCUCAAAAAUUUCACUGGGCCAACAUCAAUUCUGGCAGCAGGAUAAAUCAUUAAGAAUGUAGCUACUUCGGUAGUGUUAUAGCUUUUUGGAAUACUGUUAGCCGGGAUUGAGGACUGCGCUUCGGCAAGGAUGUUGGCAUAAUGGUUAAAUGCCGCCCGUCUUGAACC
This 580-nucleotide ribosomal RNA is filed under the name Hanseniaspora uvarum. RNAcentral's name for it is "eukaryotic LSU rRNA". It matches the Rfam family "Eukaryotic large subunit ribosomal RNA", at positions 66 to 660 of the family's 3401-position model. Lineage: Eukaryota; Fungi; Ascomycota; Saccharomycetes; Saccharomycodales; Saccharomycodaceae. The record is from RNAcentral.